This 106-nucleotide non-coding RNA is filed under the name uncultured Clostridium sp. RNAcentral's name for it is "SAM riboswitch (S box leader)". It matches the Rfam family "SAM riboswitch aptamer (S box leader)". From Rfam's summary of the family: The SAM riboswitch is found upstream of a number of genes which code for proteins involved in methionine or cysteine biosynthesis in Gram-positive bacteria. The SAM riboswitch acts at the level of transcription termination control. The record is from RNAcentral. Lineage: Bacteria; Bacillati; Bacillota; Clostridia; Eubacteriales; Clostridiaceae.
UCUUAUCGAGAGAGGCGGAGGGACUGGCCCUGUGAUGCCCGGCAACCGAUUGUAAUUUGUACAGUAAAUGGUGCCAAUUCCAGCAGGUAAAACCUGAAAGAUGAGA